GACAUGAUGUCUUCUGCAGUGACAUGAUGUCUUCUGCAGUGACAUGAUGUCUUCUGCAGUGACAUGAUGUCUUCUGCAGUGACAUGAUGUCUUCUGCAGUGACAUGAUGUCUUCUGCAGUGACAUGAUGUC
Molecule: microRNA precursor, 131 nt
Filed under: Callithrix jacchus (white-tufted-ear marmoset)
Lineage: Eukaryota; Metazoa; Chordata; Mammalia; Primates; Cebidae
Description: microRNA cja-mir-9931 precursor
Source: miRBase by way of RNAcentral